CUUAAUCUUCCAGCAGAGAGAAGCCCCACAUUUCUAUAGACAGAAAGGGGGAGAAGCUUUGAGAGAGGUAAAGAGAGAUGAUUGGGAUCUCAAGAAGGAGAUCGUUCCGCUUCCUGCUACUGUUCGUGUCAAUUUCUCUGCAAUUCUUUGCAGGCUUGUCAGAUGAUUCAUCAAGUUCCAAAGAGAAGACAAAGGCUGAUAAGAAAGCUACUCACCACACUAGCACUGGGUCCAAAAUAGUUAUCAUAUGCCUUGUGCUUGUGGUAGUUGUGCUUUUAUCAUUUGGCCUCUUCAAAUUGUGGCAAAAGAAAAAACGUGAAGAGCAGUAUGCCCGUCUGUUAAAGUUGUUUGAAGAGGAUGAUGAACUAGAGCUUGAACUUGGCCUCCGGGAUUGAGGUCCUGGUUAUAUAGAUCAUACAGUGUGAUUGAGGUUUUUAUGUACAAGAGGUAAAUGGCCACUCUCUUGGUGGAGGCCAAUACCGGGGUGGUGAUUGUCAAGGGGUUGUACUAUUUUCUGAGGUCAGAUAUUUCUGAUUUCAUAUAUGUAACAUUUGUAAUAUUAGGGUCAAACAAAAAUUUUCCCAAAUUAUUUCAUUUUUUUCAUCUAAAGAUCAGGGAAGAGCAUCAACUUGGUAAGGAAUGUUUGGCGAGUUCUAGUUGCAGUGUGUAAAAUGUCUAGUGCCUUACUUCUAUUGUUCCAUUAAAGCUACUUCUUUUGGGGUAGUGUAGAAGAAAGAUGCACUUUGACAGCGAGAAUUUAUAUAGCUUUACUUGGUAAAGAUGUAUUUUGGUAAAUUUGGGGUUAAAUGAAACGGCAUCCUGUUUACAUUCUCUCUA
Molecule: RNA transcript, 837 nt
Organism: Diospyros lotus (date-plum)
Lineage: Eukaryota; Viridiplantae; Streptophyta; Magnoliopsida; Ericales; Ebenaceae
Exons: 3
Source: RefSeq, a predicted model, not a curated record